GACGAACGCUGGCGGCGUGCCUAAUACAUGCAAGUCGAACGCUUCUUUUUCCACCGGAGCUUGCUCCACCGGAAAAAGAGGAGUGGCGAACGGGUGAGUAACACGUGGGUAACCUGCCCAUCAGAAGGGGAUAACACUUGGAAACAGGUGCUAAUACCGUAUAACAAUCAAAACCGCAUGGUUUUGAUUUGAAAGGCGCUUUCGGGUGUCGCUGAUGGAUGGACCCGCGGUGCAUUAGCUAGUUGGUGAGGUAACGGCUCACCAAGGCCACGAUGCAUAGCCGACCUGAGAGGGUGAUCGGCCACAUUGGGACUGAGGCACGGCCCAAACUCCUACGGGAGGCAGCAGUAGGGAAUCUUCGGCAAUGGACGAAAGUCUGACCGAGCAACGCCGCGUGAGUGAAGAAGGUUUUCGGAUCGUAAAACUCUGUUGUUAGAGAAGAACAAGGAUGAGAGUAACUGUUCAUCCCUUGACGGUAUCUAACCAGAAAGCCACGGCUAACUACGUGCCAGCAGCCGCGGUAAUACGUAGGUGGCAAGCGUUGUCCGGAUUUAUUGGGCGUAAAGCGAGCGCAGGCGGUUUCUUAAGUCUGAUGUGAAAGCCCCCGGCUCAACCGGGGAGGGUCAUUGGAAACUGGGAGACUUGAGUGCAGAAGAGGAGAGUGGAAUUCCAUGUGUAGCGGUGAAAUGCGUAGAUGUAUGGAGGAACACCAGUGGCGAAGGCGGCUCUCUGGUCUGUAACUGACGCUGAGGCUCGAAAGCGUGGGGAGCAAACAGG
This 777-nucleotide ribosomal RNA is filed under the name uncultured Bacilli bacterium. Its description in RNAcentral is "bacterial SSU rRNA". It matches the Rfam family "Bacterial small subunit ribosomal RNA", at positions 28 to 776 of the family's 1533-position model. The record is from RNAcentral. Lineage: Bacteria; Bacillati; Bacillota; Bacilli.